AUUGAACGCUGGCGGUAUGCUUAACACAUGCAAGUCGAACGGCGGCAUGGUCUAGCUUGCUAGACUGAUGGCGAGUGGCGGACGGGUGAGUAACGCGUAGGAAUAUGCCAUGAAGAGUGGGACAACUUGGGGAAACUCAAGCUAAUACCGCAUGUACUCGAGAGAGUAAGCUGGGGACCUUUAGGCCUGGCGCUUUAAGAUUAGCCUGCGUCCGAUUAGCUAGCUGGUAGGGUAAAGGCCUACCAAGGCGACGAUCGGUAGCUGGUCUGAGAGGAUGAUCAGCCACACUGGAACUGAGAGACGGUCCAGACUCCUACGGGAGGCAGCAGUGGGGAAUAUUGGACAAUGGGGGGAACCCUGAUCCAGCAAUGCCGCGUGUGUGAAGAAGGCCUGAGGGUUGUAAAGCACUUUCAGUGGGGAGGAGGUUUGGAAGGUUAAGAGCUAUUCAAAUGGACGUUACCCACAGAAGAAGCACCGGCUAACUCCGUGCCAGCAGCCGCAGUAA
This 505-nucleotide ribosomal RNA is filed under the name uncultured bacterium. RNAcentral describes it as "partial 16S ribosomal RNA". It matches the Rfam family "Bacterial small subunit ribosomal RNA", at positions 30 to 523 of the family's 1533-position model. The record is from RNAcentral.